This is a non-coding RNA of Oncorhynchus mykiss (rainbow trout), 1318 nucleotides long. Lineage: Eukaryota; Metazoa; Chordata; Actinopteri; Salmoniformes; Salmonidae. The record is from RefSeq and is a predicted model, not a curated record.
CUCUAUGUUUCUUCCUUAGUUCCCUCCUCACUCGGGAGUUUUUCCUUAGCUAAAAUGUACAGCAUGGUCGAGGCAUUCGUUGGAACUUGGAAGUUUUUGUGCUUCUACAUCUGCAUUGCUUGCUCUUUGGGGUUUAAGGAUGGGUGUCUGUAUAACAGUUUGUGACACUUACUGGUGUAAACUGGGCUUUAUAAAAUACAUUUGAUUGAUUGCAACGCCAGGAUAGUGGGUUGAUUCCAGGGACCACCCGAAGUUGACAAAAUUCUUCUGCACCAUGGAGUCCAUGAUUUUGCUCAUGUCACUGGCGAUGGUUGACUCUGCGUAUCUUCUCCCCAAACCCUGUCCAUUUUCCGUGAGACUAACAAGCAGACAUGAACACAAACAUGCGAGAGGAAUGGACAUAUUUGAUAAUGCAGGGGACUCAACAUCAAAAUGAAAUAUGAUCAGACAUCUCAAACGCAGGAUGGGAAUCUUACCUGUUCUCGCCAGACUGGGACAGGACUUCAGCACGCAGCAUCCCAGCCACGCAGAGAACCACCAGUGAAAACAAAGCUACCUUCAUGGUGACAAAACUAAACGAGGAGAGAAGCGAGAGGCAGAGAAAGUCAGGAAGAGAAAAAAACCUGCAAUUCUGGAGAAUGUCUUACACUUAACAAUACAGGGGUUCCUUUAUAUUUCUAAAUAACUGUUAUAUUUCUGUAAAUGUAUUACACAUACAGUAAGCUAGACACAAGAAUGCAUGUAUUAAGCAGAAAUGUAUAAUUGGAACAACAGAAUACUGGAAGGGUAUAUUUUGAAAACUAUCUUACCUUGUGAAUGGAUAUUCUUCAGUGAGAGAUGCAGGCUUUUUGUGAAUUGCUACAAGACAUUGGUCCUUUUAUACAGUUUCUCAGAGGUGAUUUGUGGCAACACUGGCAUAUCAACAGGAAUAACACCUUAGUUCCACUACAUUAGGGCAAUAAUAUACACAUACUUCCGAUAAGCAAGCUUUCUAAUAAAUUCAAAACUGAGUAAAAUAAUAGGAUGUUUAAAAUUGUUCCCUAGAUUGGAGGUAACUACCCUUAAUAUGAUCAGUGGAAACCUUUCUGGGCUAUUAGGCUAAUCUGAAUGGUGCUAGAUGGGAAACAAUUGAGACGUGAACAGCUUAAUGGUCACACUAGAAGAUAAGGGAAUGAAGUAAAAGGUGAAUGUUUUCAAUGCUGUAACCUGUUUUGGGUUACGUGUAGCUAAAUUUAAAUCUAAAAUGGUCCUUGAGAUCGGAAAAUAUGAUUUGUCUUACAUAUGAACGAUGGUGUAAUGGUAAAUAUGCUAAUGCUGU